CCGCGGUUAGCUUAGUUGGCAGAGCACGAGACUCUUAAUCUCGGGGUGGUGGGUUCGAACAUCACGUUGGG
This 71-nucleotide transfer RNA is filed under the name Ixodes scapularis (black-legged tick). It matches the Rfam family "tRNA". Rfam says of the family: Transfer RNA (tRNA) molecules are approximately 80 nucleotides in length. The record is from Rfam by way of RNAcentral. Lineage: Eukaryota; Metazoa; Arthropoda; Arachnida; Ixodida; Ixodidae.